AAGUCGUAACAAGGUUUCCGUAGGUGAACCUGCGGAAGGAUCAUUAUCAAAAUAUAAUUAUCCAACGUAUGUUAACUAUCUCUUUCGGGAGAUUGUUAACAUAUAAACCAAUCUGUGAAACGUUUUGUUUUUUUUGCUGGAGUUUGUUUUUAUUGGAAAGGACCUAUAACAAAGUCUGAUCUGAUUUUCAAUUCCAGCAAAAAAAUAUAUAUCUUAUUAACCAAUUGAACCUUAUUUUGAUUGUUAAGAUCAAAUAAUAAUUCUCUAUUGUGUGAACUGAAUUGUUUCUUACUCUUUUUGUAACAAAAAAGAGAAGAAAUUAUAUUUUACGAAACAUAAUAAGAACAACUCUUAGCAACGGAUAUCUUGGUUCUCGUAACGAUGAAGAACGCCAGC
RNAcentral lists this unclassified non-coding RNA (396 nucleotides) under fungal sp. RNAcentral describes it as "partial internal transcribed spacer region". The stretch from base 1 to 46 matches the Rfam family "Eukaryotic small subunit ribosomal RNA", at positions 1786 to 1831 of the family's 1831-position model. Lineage: Eukaryota; Fungi. The record is from RNAcentral.